UCCCAUGCAGAGUAUGAUAGCGAGGAUGGUUUUUGAUCCUUUGACGUCGGCUCUGCCUAUCAUCGCAAAACAGAGUCCACCAAGCAUUGACUGUUCACCCACUAAUAGGGAGCAUGAGCUGGGUUUAGACCAUCAUGAGGCAGGAU
Molecule: non-coding RNA, 146 nt
Filed under: Lepisosteus oculatus (spotted gar)
Lineage: Eukaryota; Metazoa; Chordata; Actinopteri; Semionotiformes; Lepisosteidae
Description: Eukaryotic large subunit ribosomal RNA
Rfam family: Eukaryotic large subunit ribosomal RNA
Source: Rfam by way of RNAcentral